Molecule: long non-coding RNA, 3309 nt
Filed under: Marmota monax (woodchuck)
Lineage: Eukaryota; Metazoa; Chordata; Mammalia; Rodentia; Sciuridae
Source: RNAcentral
GUGACUUCCUCCACGCUCCUGAGAAGCAGCUAGCGCAUGCGCUUCUUCCCUUGCCGCCCUCCUGAAGCGCGGCCCCAGGGAAGAGUGUAGUGUAGAGCGCCGGUAUCUUCUUACGGUUCUCCCGCCUCGCUCCGCCUUCCCCGGCGGCGCUAUGAGAGGUGGGCAGGAAGUCCAGCGGUCGCUUUCCGCGCGGUUGACGCGCUAACAAAGCCGGGGCCGCGGGCCCGCUAGGUGACUUCCGGCCCCGCGGGCAGGUAGGCGGAAGCGCCCGCCGCGGGCAGAGGCACCUGCCGGCCGCUUCGCCUCCCGCGUCCGCUCGGGCCCCGGGCCCCGGGCCCCGGGCCCCCGCCGCACUUCCCCGCGGCCUCCCGGGCGGGUCGCCUGCCCCUUGGCGCGACGGGACGGCCUGACCAGAGCCGUGGACUUGGCCUCGCCUCGCGUAGUGGGCAGCCCAGUGGGCGGUCUCCGGCGUAGCCCUUGCUUCCUGAGGAGUCGGGACUGCGAGGCCGGUAGCCCUGGGCUCGGGCUCGGGCCGAUUGCCUUAUGACUUCUUAUAUAUAAACUCCCCGGGUUUUUCAAGUCUCUCUCAAGAGUAAUGAGAAAAGUCGUUCGUGGUAAGAAGCCCGCCCUGAAGUGUCCUGCAGGGGUGACUACGGUCUCCACCGCCACUCGCAGGGCCUCGGGGGAGAGCGGUCGUCCGAACGGCCAGGCCACCGCCAGCCGCGCACCGGGUUCAGCUGCUGACGCUGGAGCCCAGGGCCCUGUCCCUGACGGCCACUCUGUGGGUUGAAACUGGUCCUGGUGGUUCAGCCCGAGGGGACGCGCAGGAGCGCGGAAGCCAAGUGGUGGGACCGCCGGCUGUUGGGAACCAGGCCAGAGGAGUCCUGAGACCAGACCGGGGGCCUGCUCAGGGUCAGCGGCCGUGUCCACACAAGUACAGAGCCCUUCCUCAGGGCAGCGAACCUGAAAUCCCCUCCGAGAACUCGCAUGCCCUUAUUUAAAUCCAUAGCUUCUAUUUAAUCUUAGUUGCACCUCUUUGAUUCAAAAAGUAAAUUAAUGUGACAUCAGAAAGGCACUGAAGCUAGUGAAUGUGCUCUUCAGUCUUUACUAUUUCAUUUCCAUAAAAGGAAAUCUUAAUGGAGUGAAUUUUAAGGAAAAUUUUCUGUGAGGAAAAGUGUUUAAAAUAGUUACGUCGAUGUUUCAUGUUUAGCUUAAUGAAAAAAAUGUUUCAAACUGCCUAGAGAAACUCCUGGGCUGCUUAGGUGCUCACAAACGAAGACAUAAUAGUACUUAAACAGUUAUAUAAGGAUUUUUAAAACUGCUGAAGUCUUGUAAUCUACAAAAACUUUAGGAGCGUCUUAUAUUCUGCCAUGAACUUUACUAGGUAGUAAGGGUAGGAAAAUGCUGGAACACUGCCUUGACCUCAGCAAGCAUAGGGUUGUCAACAGGAACUCUGCUCCUCCGACUUCUCCAGGAGGGGGGAAUUGAGGGAUAGAGAUGUCAAGUAACAGUCUUCACAGGCUGAGGAGAAACUUGGGAUUGGAACUGGUAGCCUCCUUGUACUGAACUGAACUCUUGGUGCUGCAACAUGCAUUUUAAAAAGACUCCAGGAAAUGUAUUUCAAUGACAAUCAUUGCCUCAGGUGAUAUGAUUAAAAAUUACCAUUUUUAUGUUAAUGUUAUAUCACUAUUAAAUAACAGAGUGGAAAUUUAAACAUAGGCAAGGAACAGUACUCUUAACCAUGGUACUACACUGUUUGCUAUGGAUCAGGCAAAAUCUGGAGGUGUAUUUAGUUCACAGUGGGGAGAAAAUACACUAACGUCCUGUGUGUAAGCUCAAAAUAAAAAUGUAUUCAUGAAUGAGAACUUAACAUUCACACAAAAAUGCACACAAAUAGCAACUCUUAUAAUUGCCAAAAAUCAGAAAUAGUCCAAAUGUCCUUCAAAGAUGAAUGAAUAAAACUGGUACAUUUGUACCAUGGGAUACUGUUCAACAACAAACAGGAAUAACCUGUUUGUAUAUUCAACAAGCUAAAUGAAUCUCAAAGCCAUUAUAUUGAGUGAAAGAAACCAGUCUCAAAAGGUUACAUAAUCUGAUUCCAUAUAUGAUGUCAAUGAAAUAGCAAAACUAUAAUGAAGGAAAACAGACCAGUGGUUGCCAGUGGGUAGUGACAGGGAAAGGUGUAAAUGUAAGGAAUAGGCACAAGAGAGGUUUUGGCAGGUAGUGCAGUUCUGCAUCUUGACUGUGAUACACAUAAAGUGAAUACACAUAACACAUGCAAAAUGAAGAGGGGUGGUCAAUUCUGCCUAGACAUUCCUGUAUCAUUGUGAACGAUUCACUCUGUCUUACCAAUGGGCAUCGUGCAAGGCUCCCUUGCAGCUAGAUAUGGCCUUGUGUUAAUUUUUGGCUAUUAUAUUAUUGGGUGGGUUUUCCAGGAGAUCUCCUAAAAGAAGCAAAUUUGUUAUGUUUUGUUUUUUUUCCCCCCUUUCCUGCUGUGUAGAAUGAAGAUACAAAGAUCAAAAUUUGGGCAUCAUUUUUGUAUGCAGUACUGUCUUCAAGAUGCCAGCUUCAUACCAUGUUAGGAACAGCAAGCAGAUGGGGUCUUCACAGGUUCAGGAGAAGCUUGGGAUUGGAACUGGUAGCCUCCUUGUACUGAACUUCACUCAGUGCUGCCACAUGCUUUUGUUAGAGACUCCAGGAAAUGUAUUUCAAUGAUUGUCAUUGCCUCAGGGGACAAAUACUACCAUUUUUUAUGAACAUCCUCAACAGUUCACCUGAUCAGAAAAAUUAACAUUCUACUUUAACAAUUUGUUUAGUGGCCUAGGGAAGCCACUAAAUUUUGCAGCAAAGGCUUUCAAGCCAUGUUCCAUGAAGCAUUCAGGGUUGGCUUACGUGGAAAGCCUUCUGCCUCCUCUGCAGCCAGAAAGGCUUUGCUUUACCAUGUUUUGGUAUCACUGUUUUUAAAAAUGUGUGUGUGUGUGUGUGUGUAUUUGUAUGUGAGACAGAGAGAGAGGGAAGGGAAAAUAAAUUUCUGUAUGGGAAGAUUCACCCAAGAAAUUUCAUUGCUUGAAGAUGCUUAUGCUAUACAUCAUUAAAGAAAGUAAAUUUUACAAGUUUUCAAAAUAAAAUGGUCAUGACCAUUUUUUUAGAUAUGAAGUAUUGGGACCUCAAUCUCCUUUUUGUGAAUGUAAAGUGAACCCAGAAAUUUUUCCAAGGAAGAUUUGGACAUAUCUCAGAUAUUUCCAUUUUAUUUGUUUGUUUUGAUACCAGGGAUGGAACUCCUGCACUCAAUCACUGAGCCACAUCCCC